RNAcentral lists this ribosomal RNA (527 nucleotides) under uncultured bacterium. RNAcentral describes it as "bacterial SSU rRNA". It matches the Rfam family "Bacterial small subunit ribosomal RNA", at positions 777 to 1304 of the family's 1533-position model. The record is from RNAcentral.
AAUAGAUACCCAGGUAGUCCACGCCGUAAACGAUGUCGACUUGGAGGUUGUUCCCUUGAGGAGUGGCUUCCGGAGCUAACGCGUUAAGUCGACCGCCUGGGGAGUACGGCCGCAAGGUUAAAACUCAAAUGAAUUGACGGGGGCCCGCACAAGCAGUGGAGCAUGUGGUUUAAUUCGAUGCAACGCGAAGAACCUUACCUACUCUUGACAUCCACGGAACUUAGCAGAGAUGCUUUGGUGCCUUCGGGAACCGUGAGACAGGUGCUGCAUGGCUGUCGUCAGCUCGUGUUGUGAAAUGUUGGGUUAAGUCCCGCAACGAGCGCAACCCUUAUCCUUUGUUGCCAGCGGUCCGGCCGGGAACUCAAAGGAGACUGCCAGUGAUAAACUGGAGGAAGGUGGGGAUGACGUCAAGUCAUCAUGGCCCUUACGAGUAGGGCUACACACGUGCUACAAUGGCGCAUACAAAGAGAAGCGACCUCGCGAGAGCAAGCGGACCUCAUAAAGUGCGUCGUAGUCCGGAUUGGAGU